AUUGACCUCGGAUCAGGCAGGGAUACCCGCUGAACUUAAGCAUAUCAAUAAGCGGAGGAAAAGAAACCAACAGGGAUUGCCCUAGUAACGGCGAGUGAAGCGGCAACAGCUCAAAUUUGAAAUCUGGCUCCUUUGGGGUCCGAGUUGUAAUUUGCAGAGGGUGCUUUGGCGUUGGCUGUGGUCUAAGUUCCUUGGAACAGGACGUCACAGAGGGUGAGAAUCCCGUACGUGGCCGCCAGCCUCCGCCGUGUAAAGCCCCUUCGACGAGUCGAGUUGUUUGGGAAUGCAGCUCUAAAUGGGAGGUAAAUUUCUUCUAAAGCUAAAUAUCUGCCAGAGACCGAUAGCGCACAAGUAGAGUGAUCGAAAGAUGAAAAGCACUUUGGAAAGAGAGUCAAAAAGCACGUGAAAUUGUUGAAAGGGAAGCGCUUGCAGCUAGACGUGCCUCUGGAUGAUCAGCCGGGCUUCUGCCUGGUGCACUCUUCCUCUGGCAGGCCAGCAUCAGUUUGGGCGGCUGGAUAAAGGUCUGUUAAACGUGACUCCCUUUGGGGAGAGCUUAUAGGGCAGACGACAUGCAGCCAGCCCGGACUGAGGUCCGCGCAUCUGCUAGGAUGCUGGCAUAAUAGCUGUAAGCGGCCCGUCUUGAAACACGGACCAAGGAGUCUAACAUCUAUGCGAGUGUUUGGGUGUCAAGCCCGAGCGCGUAAUGAAAGUGAACGGAGGUGGGAACCCUUUGGGUGCACCAUCGACCGAUCCCGACGUCUUCUGAUGGAUUUGAGUAAGAGCAUAGCUGUUGGGACCCGAAAGAUGGUGAACUAUGCCUGAAUAGGGUGAAGCCAGAGGAAACUCUGGUGGAGGCUCGCAGCGGUUCUGACGUGCAAAUCGAUCGUCAAAUUUGGGCAUAGGGGCGAAAGACUAAUCGAACUAUCUAGUAGCUGGUUCCUGCCGAAGUUUCCCUCAGG
This 959-nucleotide ribosomal RNA is filed under the name Lophiostoma plantaginis. Its description in RNAcentral is "partial large subunit ribosomal RNA". It matches the Rfam family "Eukaryotic large subunit ribosomal RNA", at positions 1 to 977 of the family's 3401-position model. Lineage: Eukaryota; Fungi; Ascomycota; Dothideomycetes; Pleosporales; Lophiostomataceae. The record is from RNAcentral.